RNAcentral lists this ribosomal RNA (487 nucleotides) under fungal sp. 5 CS-2008. Its description in RNAcentral is "eukaryotic LSU rRNA". It matches the Rfam family "Eukaryotic large subunit ribosomal RNA", at positions 38 to 493 of the family's 3401-position model. The record is from RNAcentral. Lineage: Eukaryota; Fungi.
GCAUAUCAAUAAGCGGAGGAAAAGAAACCAACAGGGAUUGCCUCAGUAACGGCGAGUGAAGCGGCAAAAGCUCAAAUUUGAAACCCUCGGGAUUGUAAUUUGAAGAUUUGGCAUUGGAGAAAGCUAACCCAAGUUACUUGGAAUAGUACGUCAUAGAGGGUGACAACCCCGUCUGGCUAACCGUUCUCCAUGUAUUGCCUUAUCAAAGAGUCGAGUUGUUUGGGAAUGCAGCUCAAAGUGGGUGGUAAACUCCAUCUAAAGCUAAAUACUGGUGAGAGACCGAUAGCGAACAAGUACUGUGAAGGAAAGGUGAAAAGAACUUUGAAAAGAGAGUGAAAUAGUAUGUGAAAUUGUUGAUAGGGAAGGAAAUGAGUGGAGAGUGGUUUAGGUUUCAGCCUUCUUUCGAGGGGGUGUACUACCAACGCCGAGUCAUUGUCAGCGAGACAAGGGUUAUAAACGGGUUGCCUUCUGGCUUCUCACCUAACCC